CAAGGAAUUUUGCGCAAUGGGCGAAAGCCUGACGCAGCAACGCCGCGUGGGGGAAGAAGGCCCUCGGGUUGUAAACCCCUUUUGCGAGGGACGAAGAUCUGACGGUACCUCGCGAAUAAGCCACGGCUAACUACGUGCCAGCAGCCGCGGUAAUACGUAGGUGGCGAGCGUUGUCCGGAUUCACUGGGCGUAAAGCGCGCGCAGGCGGAUUCGUCAGUCCGGGGUGAAAGCUCACGGCUCAACUGUGAGAGGUCCCCGGAUACUGCGGGUCUAGAGGCACCUAGAGGAGAGUGGAAUUCCCGGUGUAGUGGUGGAAUGCGUAGAUAUCGGGAGGAACACCAGUGGCGAAAGCGGCUCUCUGGGGGUGACCUGACGCUGAGGCGCGAAAGCGUGGGGAGCGAACCGGAUUAGAUACCCCCGUAGUCC
Molecule: ribosomal RNA, 426 nt
Filed under: uncultured prokaryote
Description: bacterial SSU rRNA
Rfam family: Bacterial small subunit ribosomal RNA
Source: RNAcentral